RNAcentral lists this ribosomal RNA (496 nucleotides) under uncultured bacterium. Its description in RNAcentral is "partial 16S ribosomal RNA". It matches the Rfam family "Bacterial small subunit ribosomal RNA", at positions 28 to 507 of the family's 1533-position model. The record is from RNAcentral.
GACGAACGCUGGCGGCGUGCCUAAUACAUGCAAGUUGAGCGCUGAAGGUUGGUACUUGUACCAACUGGAUGAGCAGCGAACGGGUGAGUAACGCGUGGGGAAUCUGCCUUUGAGCGGGGGACAACAUUUGGAACCAAUGCCUAAUACCCAAUAAAAACUUUAAACAAAAUUUUUAGGUUUGAAGAUGGCAUUUCAUUAACUAAAAAAUAUUCCGCGUUGUAUUAGCUUAGUUGGUGGGUUAAGGCUCACCAAGGCGAUGAUACAUAGCCGACCUGGAAGGGUGAUCGGCCACAUUGGGACUGAGACACGGCCCAAACUCCUACGGGGGGCAGCAGUAGGGAAUCUUCGGCAAUGGACGAAAGUCUGACCGAGCAACGCCGCGUGAGUGAAGAAGGUUUUCGGAUCGUAAAACUCUGUUGGUAGAGAAGAACGUUGGUGAGAGUGGAAAGCUCAUCAAGUGACGGUAACUACCCAGAAAGGGACGGCUAACUACGUG